GUAUGUAUUUGUUUACGAGUAGAGGAAAGUUGAUGUCUUGCUCGACAUGUGGAGAGUACCUUUGUCGCUGCCAGUCGCAUGCGAUGCAAUCGACGCGUGUCAGUAUCGUUCCAGUUCGGGUAGAAUGGCUGCCUCACAAGCUAGUCAGCGAGGGCGGUUCGACUGAGUCAACUGUCGUUACUGAUCAGCGCGCUCCCUCUGGUUUUCCCCUGUACUAGUGGUUGGAAGAAACAUAGGCUGUGGUGCAUUGGCUUGUUAUAUGGCGGAAGACAAAGGAAAAGUUCCUGGCGUACGCGCCUCGCAGAGACAAAAUUUAAAGCUGCUACCAUUAAUGAUUCACGUCCCGAGUUUGGCACAAGGGGGAGAAAGAGAGAGAAUGAAGAAAACUAACAGAAAUGUUUACUUUCAUACUUCUGCAUGCCAGUACUGUACUUAAAACACCAUAAUUGUAUGGGUACAUCAUUAAAAAUAGUUACAGAAAUGUAAAUGCUAUCAGUCUGUCAACUUUAAUUCUGUCAAAUCCAAAAAAAAGAUAGAUUCUGAAGCAGGAUUUGGAAAAUGCCUGAUACGUCCAAGAAGACUUAAAUCAGUGAAUUCCACUAACCAAGCUCCUUUAACAACCCAGUACUACACUGACAUAAAACCUUGGAAACUAUUACUGAGUAUUCUGAAGGCUUGACUGUGUCUUCAUUACAUUGGCAGUAAGUUUAAAUUACCUGUAAACUAUUUUAUGAUAAAAGAAGCAGACAGACUAAACCAGUCUGUAAUCCUUUCUUCAACCAUUACUUCAACCCUAGGGCAAUUGAUGGUGUUGUGGGAGAGUAUAGUAACAUAGCCACUGAACGAGGCCUUGACUUAUAACCCAAGAAGGCUUAAUCAACAUAUUUCAUUUCCAAUCCAUCAGUUCUGAUUUACAACCAGCUGGCAGGUUGAAGCUCAAGGGUAAGGAAGUGCAUUA
Molecule: long non-coding RNA, 958 nt
Organism: Schistocerca gregaria
Lineage: Eukaryota; Metazoa; Arthropoda; Insecta; Orthoptera; Acrididae
Exons: 2
Source: RefSeq, a predicted model, not a curated record